Molecule: long non-coding RNA, 1653 nt
Filed under: Pelobates cultripes (western spadefoot toad)
Lineage: Eukaryota; Metazoa; Chordata; Amphibia; Anura; Pelobatidae
Source: RNAcentral
CGCCAAUAAGUCCAUGUAUUUAUCUGUGUAGUUAAUAGAGCUCCCAGCAUUAGAACAGGUGGCGACCGGCACAUGGCAAUCCCCAGCAAAGAAGUCAAAUUGCUCUAAAAACAGUUUGACUAGUUACAUGGGGGCAGGGGGCCAUGAGACUUCUGGCAUAAUAACCACUACUAUGCACUGUAGUGGUUGUGGUGGAUGGAGUGGUCCUUAACACGCUAAGGAUCCAGUAAGUGUAAAUUCCCUACAAAUCUAGCUCUCACAUUAACAGUAAGAAAAUUCAGUGGAUUGAAUUUCUCCCAUUAUAAGAUUUCUACCUAUUACGCAAUUUUAACUCCCUUACUGGAAAUAGAAUUUCUGGGAUUUUUAGUAAAUUCCAAAUUGGCUACUCUAAGGAAAUUGAAGACAAUUCGGAAGGAGAUCAGAUCAGUUUUAAACAAAGAACUUAUGUCAAUCAGAUCUCUAGUGAGCAUUGUGGGCCUAUUAUCAGCUUCAAUUCAAGCAAUAUUCCCGGCUCCUCUUCACUACCGUGUACUCCAAAGGCUAAAGAGAGAACAUUUACGAAAUGUUCUUUGCUAUUCAGACGAGAUCGAUUUAACUCCAGAUACGAGAACAGAACUAUUCUGAUAUCAUGUCCAAACGUGGAACAGGAAAGCCAUUUUCACAUCAUUCCCGGAUCUAAUUAUAGAAUCCGAUACGAGUCGUAUUGGUUGGGGUGGCCAUUGCGGAGGAAACUCCACGGGAGGCAAAUGGUCUCUGACAGAGACAAAUAUGCAUAUAAAUGCCUGGAACUCAUGGCAGGGUUUUUUGCUUUACAAAGUUUUGCAAAAAAAAAUCCAAUUGUUGCAUCCUACUCAAGAUAGACAAUUUUUCAGGGGUCCAAUAUGUGAACCGCUUAGAAGGCACAAAAUCCAAACAACUGGCUGAUAUUGGCAAAGAUUUUUGGCACUUUUGCUUCGAUCAAAACAUCGUUUUUAGAGUGAAAUAUCUUCCUGGACAUUCCAGGACGAUAGCAGAUUCCAACGAUUGGAUGUUGGAUCCCAUAAUUUUCCGUCUGUUCUCCCUAUGGGGUCCGUUCUGAUACGACCUCUUUGCAUCACGCCCCAGCCGCCAAUUGAAAGAAAUUUUCAGCUGGCGUCCAGAUCCAGAAGGACUAGAUCAAGAUGCUUUUCUUCAAUGUUGGAGGAACGGAAUCAAGUAUGCAUUUCCACCGUUUGCAAUGAUUUCUCAGGUUCUUCUGAAGGCAUGGUCUCAGAAAUCAACCCUAGUAUUGAUAACUCCCCUUUGGCCAUCACAGCCUUGGUUCCCUCAACUUCUCAGCAUGCUAAUAGAUUACCCAAGACUCAUACAAAUGCGUUGGGAUUCUCUGCACGAUCUGGACGGGAAUCUUCACCCCCUGGUGAUAUCAGACCAACUACCUCUAAUAGCAUCACUCAUUUCGGGUCACACGAAUCUCAUAGAGAGUUUUCAGAUUUAACUUGAAACAUACUCUCAGAAGCAUGGACACCAGGUACCGGUGCAAGUUACGGAUUAACCUGGAAAAUUUGGCUUAAUUGGUGCUUGGAACGGGCUGUGUAUCCCGUAGAUUCCUAAAUGUUAUGUCUUUUUCAUUUGAUUCAGGUACAGCAUACCGCGCUAUUAAUGUGUAUCGUUCAG